Molecule: long non-coding RNA, 385 nt
Filed under: Salmo salar (Atlantic salmon)
Lineage: Eukaryota; Metazoa; Chordata; Actinopteri; Salmoniformes; Salmonidae
Description: lncRNA (ENSSSAG00000104892.1)
Source: RNAcentral
CCCCGUCUCUCCCUUUCCAAUGGAUGCAAUAGCGCUAUGUGUCCACCAGAUGGAGGUAUUGGAACAAAAUUAACAUCCAUCUGGUGGCCACAUAGCGCUAUUGCAUCCAUUGGCUUGAUCACUGACACUGUCAGCCAAUCCAAUGACAUCCCCCCUCUCUCUCUCUCUCCCUUUCCCCCUCUCUUUUCUCUCUCUCCCUUUCCCUCUCUCCCUUUUUUCUCUCUCUCUUUUCCUCUCUCGCACUCUUUCCCUUUCUCUCCCCCUCCCCUUGCUCUCUCUUCCUUUCCCUCCUCUCGCACUCUUUUCCUUUCUCUCCCCCUCCCCUUUCUCUUGCUCUCUCUUCCUUUCCCUCCUCUCUCCUUUUCCCUUGCUCUCUCUUCCUUUU